This is a long non-coding RNA of Equus caballus (horse), 2453 nucleotides long. The record is from Ensembl. NCBI's taxonomy places the organism in Eukaryota, Metazoa, Chordata, Mammalia, Perissodactyla, Equidae.
UUUCAAACUGAAAAGGCCAAUUAAGUGCUGGGAUGGAUUUAUAAAGCAAACAAACCAACCUUUCGCACAAACACAGGAAAUCAGUGGUAAAUGGAAGCUUUAAAAUAUCCUAGAGGGAAGGAAUAGACUACUUAUAAAGCAAGAAGAAACAGACGGAAUCAAGGGGCUUCCUUGAAUAUGGCUUUCAGUUGGGUUUGGCCGACGAGAAGCACCCCCAGGAGAUCAACGGCAGGAGGAGCACAGAAUCUCUCUAGCUAUCAUAUAAAGGAUACAUUUUAAAAAGAAAAGAAUGGAAGCCGGGGCCCAGUGCAAGGCAGCAAAGAAGAAUGAGUGAAGGAGUGCCCGGAAUGGACAGAAGUAGUAGGAAUGGAUAGAAAGAGUAAAUCAAAAUAAGGACUCUCACUUUUUGGUUGUGUGACUUACCGUGGCGUAACUCAGCAUAGGAAAUAGAAUUGGAAUGAUGACAUCCAAUUCUGCAUCCAGCCUAAAUCCUUUGUCUAGCACAACAUGGAUUCAUUUUGCUGAAUGAGGUGCCAGUCAUCACAGACCAACAUGUGCUACAGUGUGAUAGUGAGAGUCCAAGAAAUACUGCUCUGCACUCUACCUGAGAGAGAUACAGCACUCCUUAUUUGCAAAGUCUGGAGGGAGAACUGCUUUCUGUGAUUCAUUUUAAUUGCUACCUAAAGUCUAUAAAAUUUAAUGGUUGCCAUUUUUCCCUCAAAGUGGUGGUAACGAAUGCAUUACAUGUUCUUAAGACUGUAUAAAUUGAACUUCUAUAAAAACAAAUCAAUAAUUACUUACACACGUUGCUGUUUUUUAGAUCAACCACCAUCAUUAAUAGGGCUUUACUUAUAAAAUCUUAUAAAGUAUAGAUUAAAAGUAUAGCAAAAGUAUAAUCAUUUAGAAAUACAAAACAAGCAUCCUAAUGCAUAAAGAAAAAAUAAAAUAAAAGUAGCAUACUUGUAGUUUAAAAAAAUAGUUUUGGUAAAAUUAAGUAAAUAACUGUCAAGGAAAAUAUCUGAUCCUUACCAUAACAAUCAAUCAAAUGGAAGAGUCAGACAAAUUUACCAAAGUGAGCCAUGAAGCUACUGGUUUUCAUAAUACAUUAAAAAUUUUAAUUUCAUCUUUCUCAGUUUUUACCCAUAUAGUUCACAAAAAUAGAAAAUUUAAUACAUAAAAAGUAUGUAUGCAAGUGUUUGGUUUACAAUCCAUGCAUCUAUAAGGCCAAAGAUGUCAGUACAGUUAAAUUAACCCAUGGGGCGCAGAGGUUAAACACAAGCCCGGGGAAGCGACAGAGACCAAUCGAACCCCUUGCAGCUGAUUUUAUUCUGCUAGUGAAAAUCCAAUGCUCGCGGCUAACAAGCUCUCGGGGAACCUGUUUCUGUACUUUCUCUAGUUGCACUGAGAAUCAGUAUUUCAUCAUGCUUUGAAAAACAUGUAUGCACAUCUUUGAAAUACUAAUUCCUAUGAUUCAUAAUGACCUUGAGUAGAAGGAAAGGGAAAAAUCGCAUUUUUUAAAAUGGUCUUUUUUUUCUGAGGCUGUCGAGGCACGAUUUGUAUUUUCAGCAUCUGGUAACAGAUUAGAGACUCCCUGGAUCUUAAGGAAUUGACUAAUCUUUACUUGUAUUGAAGACUAAAGACAGAUUGCAAAUAAUGGAUAUCCACAGGGUCCUCUGAGCAUCUGCUACAGCGCGCCUCCCACGCGAGCCACUGCUCGGUAAGGACGUUAUGGCCCUUCCGCAGUGUCAAUGUGAUUCUUGGAGAUGGUUGCCUCUUCUCUGUGUUCACCUAACCGGCAGCAUGUGGCUGGGAUUUGAAGGCGCACAGCGGAUUCCCUGAGCCUGCCGUUUCCUCCAGGGCCAUCUCAGGGCCACCAGCCCAGGAAGAGAUGGCAUAGAAGCCGGAGUGUAGGAGGAGCGGCCAAGUGGGCAAAACGAGCGCAGCACAGCCUGAGACAAGGCCGUCGCCAUGCCGGGGCAGAGCCCGGGACCUGGCACCAGUCCUCGGGGCCUAUGCUUACCCUUCUCCCAUCUGGGCUAGCAAAGGAACACCCGGGCGCUCUUCUUUUCCUGUUGAGCUGUGUGCUCUAAAAUCUGCUCUCCUCCCAGGCUGUGCCGCACGGACUAGCCCACUGAAACGUGCCAACCACUUACUAUGUUGUCAUCUCCUGAAUGUGCACAACUUGAACUUUGCACACGGGAUUUAAGAUGCUAGCUCUAGACAAGAGCCGCCCCGUGCUCAUCACACCCCGUCAGCUGACGACUGUGGCUUGACAGAAAAGCUGUUCAGUAGUUGUCACUCUUCCCUGCCAGAAGCCGGUCUGUGCCACCUCCUGCCCUACAUUGACCGUGUGGAGCUGGCUUUAUAACUGCACCGUCAGUAACUCCAGUUACCCCGACCAGCAGUCUCGAUUGGAGAGUGGCCAAACUGAGAUUCUCAGGGAAGAGGCCAAG